UUCUUCUCUGAUGUCCAAGUUUUUCUUCUGUCAACAUGUU
This 40-nucleotide small RNA is filed under the name Arabidopsis thaliana (thale cress). RNAcentral describes it as "ATSL250900". The record is from RNAcentral. Lineage: Eukaryota; Viridiplantae; Streptophyta; Magnoliopsida; Brassicales; Brassicaceae.